CCGCUUAUGGCCUCGUCUGAUCUCAGAAGCUAAGCAGGGUCGGGCCUGGUUAGUACUUGGAUGGGAGACCAACUGGGAAUGCNNNN
RNAcentral lists this ribosomal RNA (86 nucleotides) under Sinocyclocheilus anshuiensis. Lineage: Eukaryota; Metazoa; Chordata; Actinopteri; Cypriniformes; Cyprinidae. The record is from RNAcentral.